Molecule: unclassified non-coding RNA, 2435 nt
Filed under: Pogonomyrmex barbatus (red harvester ant)
Lineage: Eukaryota; Metazoa; Arthropoda; Insecta; Hymenoptera; Formicidae
Description: ataxin-10, transcript variant X1
Source: RNAcentral
UUAGCAUCUGAUGAACAAUAGGAAUGCUUUCCAGAGAUAGAUAUAUACAAGUUUUUUUAUUAUUCUUAUUGUUUAUCGAAUAUUAAACAAGAAAUGAUGACAAAUGAUAAUAUAACUAGACUCGUGUCAACUUUGAAAAAUAUCCUAGACCUAGAUAAAGCUCACUGAUUAGCUCUGAUCGGCUCAAUUCCGUACAAUAUAGAUGAUGUGAUCUCAUUGGAAUAUUCUACUAACUUAUCAUUUGACACGUGCUUGCAAUGACCGCUUGCAGCUAAUCGCUUGUUCUGCUGAAUGCUGUCAACGUCUGAUCAACGAAUGAAUAAAGAAGACAGUGGCGAUUUCAUUAAAAAUGACAGCACAUAUUACUUCGCAAAAAUUAAAAAUAAUUAUAAAUGAGAAUAACUGGGAUCAGUUAUUGCAAGAGAUCAAACCAAAACAUUUUGUCAGGCAAGAAUCAGGAAUAAUACCUGAUGCAGGUAUCUUAGCACAGUUGUGUCAAAUACUCGUAAGUGAAAUUACUCUGGAUAUGAUUAAGAUUUUGUGUUUGAAAUGCCUGGGAAAUUCUUGCCUCGAUAGUUACAAACAUAAACAGCAUACAAUAAGAAACGUAGAAUCUGUUCAAUAUAGCAAGAAUUUAUACGAUGAAUUAGUUGAGAGUGAUUUAUGUCAACAAGGAAAGAAUUGUGAUUAUCCACAUGAUUCUCAUUUCCCAUACGAUGGAGUCGUAGAAUGGACUGUAUAUUAUAUCAAGUCUCAUGAUGAAUCCAUGGAUUGUUUGACUGAUAAGGAAUUGGACAUCUUUAGACUCAGUAUUCAAUUUUUAUGUAAUUUAUUUACAUAUGCAUGUCCAAAUGUAACAUCAGCAGACAAUAUUUUAAGAUAUAUAAAUUGUGAUAACUUCAAACAAGUUAUUCUAAAUAGUAUGCAAUCUGAUUACAAACUUCUUGCCAGUGCAGCUUGUAUAUAUGUGCAUAAUGCAUUAAAAAAAUUACCUGACGAUCAUUUCACAAAUGAUGAGAAAAAUCUAUAUUUACAAUUAAUAAAACCUGCUAAAGAAAAUUUUACAUCUGCAAAGGAUGCAUUACUAUUUCUAUUACAACGACGAAAUAUAUUUGAGAAUAUAUACAGUAGCAUAGCCAUAAGCGAAAAGUUAGAAUUACUUGAAAUUAUAUAUAAUGAAGUCUGGACAUCCUGGCAAUCUGAUCUUAAUACAGUGCUCACGGAAGAUCAAGCUGAGUUUCUAACGCUAACAUUUUGCAAAAAAAGUGAUCUUAUUUUGAAGACUGUGGACACGUAUGUAAAUAGUAUAGAUCCUACAGAAGUUAUACUUAUUCUUAAUAUUCUGGGACUUAUUACUACGCAAUACAAGAUUUCAAAGAAUGCCAGAUCUUUGCUCAUUAAUUGUAAAUAUCUUUUAAUGUCCUUACAUAUGAUGGGAAAAGAGGCGGAUAAUUAUUUUACUCCAAUAACAAAUUUAAGUAAAGUGGCACCUAGUGCUAAAAGGACAACUGUCGAUAUAGAAACAAAUGAUAUAGAAACAUCUAAAGCAAUAGAUGAUCUACAAGAACAUCCUGCAUAUGGCUUUAAAGCGGGACUAAUACAAGUCAUUGCAAAUAUAGUGCAUAAGAACAAAAUAUGUCAGGAUCUGUUUCGCGAGAUAGAUGGAAUUCCGUUACUUUUGGAUUGUUGUAACAUAGACGCACGGAAUCCACUCAUCCUGCAAUGGACCAUUCUCGCUUUGAGAAAUCUAUGCGAGGGGAAUCCCGAGAAUCAAGAAAUUAUUAGAAAUUGUGAAAAGAAGGGCGUGCCGGAUAAUCCUGCGUUACAAGAGAUGGGAUUGACUCUACAUGAGGACGCGGAUGGGAAAUCGAUUCGUAUCGCUCCUUUACGUCGCAAUUAGGGAGAUUUACAGUUUUUUCUAGGAACGCGAUUGUUCUCGGUCAAUCAAUCAGCUCAAAUCAUUGUUUGUAUCGAUAAUAUUCUUAAUAAGAUACGAUAUAUAUGUGUAUGUUUUUGUGAUGGGUGUAACCGGAUUUUCCUGUAUAAAUAAUUAUUAUUCCAACUAGACUGAAAUGUAUCCUGCUAUGCCAAUCGCUAAGAAACGACUCUGCAAUUACGACGAUUAUUAUGCUAUUAGGCGAAAUACGACGUGGUAUGACAUAGAGAGAUAUUUUAUCUACAAUCAUGGCCGAGUGAUUUACGAUACAAUAAAAGCUGCCGUGAGAGUUCACGAUCUAUUAGUAGUUACUAAUACAGUGUUCUCCAAAUCGAUAAAUAAAUUCGCGAUAAAUUAUAUACGUUUGUCUCUCCACGUUUUUCCGCCCUCUCACAAAAUUGCGCAAGACAGGAGGCAUGGAGACGUUGAAGAAUUAUAGAAUCUCCAAUUACGCUGUCAAGUGACGCGUGUUUCAAUAAAUAAUUUCUUCGUUAAUUAA